GAGGACUUAAAAUUUAAAGGAAAAAAAAUUCCACUUAAGUAGCAAACUUUAUAAAAUAAGGGUGAAGGAAGGAUGAGAGAUACAAAAAUUCUAGAUUUCAUAAAGUUUGCAUCGUAGGAUGCAAACUAUUUACUUUUCAGUUUUUUCUAUUUACACACUUGCAUCCUAAGUUGCGAAGGGGUAGAAUUGGAAGGUCGGGGAUACGUAAAAGGCUUGGAGACGUGAAGAGAAGAACUCAAAUUUUAAUGUCCAUGAACUGUUUAGUAGAGAAACGUGGGGUGCAAAUAACAUUCACGAAGAAAAAUUUGGCUUUGUCACGUUUUGGACCGAUUUCAUAACCCUUUUGAGAAAACUUGAAUGACUCGCAAAUUCAGAUUCAAUUUCACGAACAACGAUUGAUUCUCUUACGUAAUAGAAAAUCUAUUCCCACAAAUAGAUUGUGAUUUUCUCCUUCAAAGUAUAAGUCUUUGAUCCAAUUUAUCACUUUUUUGCAGCUUGUAAGUGAUUAUUUCCUAGAAUUGCUUAAUGGGUAUUGCCAAUUUUUCAAUUUGAUAGGGUUUUGAUUUCUGGGUAUACUAGAUUUAGAGUUUCAGUAUUGAUCUAUGCAAUUUUGAGAAGAUUUAUUAUUUUUAGGUAUUGACCCUCUCCCGAGGGUCCCGGUAACCCAGAGUUUGGCCGAGCUAAGU
This 686-nucleotide long non-coding RNA is filed under the name Trifolium pratense (red clover). Its description in RNAcentral is "long non-coding RNA (TPRA_LNC007333)". Lineage: Eukaryota; Viridiplantae; Streptophyta; Magnoliopsida; Fabales; Fabaceae. The record is from RNAcentral.